GACGAACGCUGGCGGCGUGCUUAACACAUGCAAGUCGAACGGAAAGGCCCUGCUUUUGUGGGGUGCUCGAGUGGCGAACGGGUGAGUAACACGUGAGUAACCUGCCCUUGACUUUGGGAUAACUUCAGGAAACUGGGGCUAAUACCGGAUAGGAGCUCCUGCUGCAUGGUGGGGGUUGGAAAGUUUCGGCGGUUGGGGAUGGACUCGCGGCUUAUCAGCUUGUUGGUGGGGUAGUGGCUUACCAGGGGUUUGACGGGUAGCCGGCCUGGGAGGGUGACCGGCCACAUUGGGACUAAGAUACGGCCCAGACUCCUACGGGAGGCAGCAGUGGGGAAUAUUGCACAAUGGGCGGAAGCCUGAUGCAGCAACGCCGCGUGCGGGAUGACGGCCUUCGGGUUGUAAACCGCUUUCGCCUGUGACGAAGCGUGAGUGACGGUAAUGGGUAAAGAAGCACCGGCUAACUACGUG
RNAcentral lists this ribosomal RNA (468 nucleotides) under uncultured bacterium. RNAcentral's name for it is "partial 16S ribosomal RNA". It matches the Rfam family "Bacterial small subunit ribosomal RNA", at positions 28 to 507 of the family's 1533-position model. The record is from RNAcentral.